UGGGGAAUAUUGCACAAUGGGCGCAAGCCUGAUGCAGCGACGCCGCGUGAGGGAUGACGGCCUUCGGGUUGUAAACCUCUUUCAGCAUCGUACGAAGCGCAAGUGACGGUAGAUGCAGAAGAAGGACCGGCCAACUACGUGCCAGCAGCCGCGGUAAUACGUAGGGUCCGAGCGUUGUCCGGAAUUACUGGGCGUAAAGAGCUCGUAGGUGGUUUGUCGCGUUGUCCGUGAAAACUCACAGCUCAACUGUGGGCGUGCGGGCGAUACGGGCAGACUGGAGGUACUGCA
This 288-nucleotide ribosomal RNA is filed under the name uncultured Mycobacterium sp. Its description in RNAcentral is "partial 16S ribosomal RNA". It matches the Rfam family "Bacterial small subunit ribosomal RNA", at positions 355 to 654 of the family's 1533-position model. The record is from RNAcentral. Lineage: Bacteria; Bacillati; Actinomycetota; Actinomycetes; Mycobacteriales; Mycobacteriaceae.